This 72-nucleotide transfer RNA is filed under the name Epinephelus aeneus (white grouper). RNAcentral's name for it is "tRNA-Thr". It matches the Rfam family "tRNA". Rfam says of the family: Transfer RNA (tRNA) molecules are approximately 80 nucleotides in length. Their secondary structure includes four short double-helical elements and three loops (D, anti-codon, and T loops). The record is from RNAcentral. Lineage: Eukaryota; Metazoa; Chordata; Actinopteri; Perciformes; Serranidae.
GUACUAGUAGUUCAGAGCCAGAACGCCGGUCUUGUAAACCGGAUGCCAGGGGUUGAAGUCCCCUCAAGUACU